Molecule: long non-coding RNA, 1157 nt
Filed under: Callithrix jacchus (white-tufted-ear marmoset)
Lineage: Eukaryota; Metazoa; Chordata; Mammalia; Primates; Cebidae
Description: lncRNA (ENSCJAG00000073333.1)
Source: RNAcentral
CUUCAUUUUCAAUUCCCUGAAAGCUCCUAUCACAAUGUUGGGUUCAUGGGUUUCUGUUGAAUUGAUUUAAUGGUUUGGGAAAAAGCCCAGAUAACUCUCUGGUGACAUAUCCAAGAAUUCUGGAUUAAUAUCAAUAGUACUUUCUAUUAAAAAUGCAUUCAGGCUACCUGCUGUCUAAAAUAACCUACAUUCCCUUUUUGGAACUGACUAGCCUUUAAAGACUUGACGCAAGUAAGCUUUAGAAGGGUUUAUCAAUAAACACUUAUAUAUGGAUUAAUCGAUUGAUGUACAGUCUCCGCAGUGUAUCUUUAAUAUCGACCUAUUGUGUUGCUUAAAGCCAACUCAUCAAAAAAUUGUUUUGUUUCAUUUUGAGAUUUGAUCCUUGCCUGAUCAAUGGCUGAGAUUUCAUCUUGGAAUUUUAGGCUCCUGGACAUCAAUGAAUAAUCUAACAAUAUUGGGAAGAAACAAGCGUGAGGAACGUGGCCCAAAAGUUGAGCGUAAGACUCACAGUCAACCUGCCUAUCUCCAAGUCUAAAUGUGCAAUUCACCAUCAGAUUAUGAGAACACAGAGGCUUCCUCCAGCUCCAUGGUCCACCACAGUAUCUACACCUACACAGAGAUCUACAUUUACAAUAAAGCAAAACAGCAGACACUGGGGAUGUGUGUCUAUUUUGGCGGGCUGAGGGAGAAAGAGAAAUAAUAUUACACUGUUUGAAGUAGAAAUCCCCAACAUUUUUGGUACCAAGGACUGGUUUUCUUUAAGCCAAUGUUUCCGUGGACUGGGAAGUAGGGCUGGGAGGGAUGGUUUUAGGAUGAAACUGUUUUACCACAGGUCAUUAGGUGUUAGAUUUUCAUAAGGAGCACACAACCUAGAUCCCUGGCACACACAGUUUACAAUAGGGUUCAUGAUCCUAUUAGAAUCCAGUACUACCGCUGAUCUGACAGGAGGUAGAGCUCAGGUGGUAAUGCUUGCUUGCCUGCCACUCAUCUUCUGCUGGGUGGCCCAGUUCCUAACAGACCACGGAACAAUAUUGGUUAGGGCUGGGAACCCCUGGUUGAAAGGAUAGCAAGUACUGAAAGCCAGGGUAGCAAACCCAAAUGCCUCUGGGAGGACAGACAAUGGGGAGCUGGAGGGCUGUGGAACUAGAGAGUUCAUG